UACGUAGGGGGCAAGCGUUGUCCGGAUUGAUUGGGCGUAAAGAGCGUGUAGGCGGCUAGGUAGGUCCGUUGUGAAAACUCGAGGCUCAACCUCGAGACGCCGGUGGAAACCAUCUAGCUAGAGUCCGGAAGAGGAGAGUGGAAUUCCUGGUGUAGCGGUGAAAUGCGCAGAUAUCAGGAGGAACACCAACGGCGAAGGCAGCUCGCUGGGACGGUACUGACGCUGAGGCGCGAAAGCGUGGGGAGCGAACAGG
This 253-nucleotide ribosomal RNA is filed under the name uncultured bacterium. Its description in RNAcentral is "partial 16S ribosomal RNA". It matches the Rfam family "Bacterial small subunit ribosomal RNA", at positions 524 to 776 of the family's 1533-position model. The record is from RNAcentral.